This 3825-nucleotide long non-coding RNA is filed under the name Homo sapiens (human). Its description in RNAcentral is "HSALNT0338219". The record is from RNAcentral. Lineage: Eukaryota; Metazoa; Chordata; Mammalia; Primates; Hominidae.
GCCUCCCAGAGUGCUAUUAUUACAGGCGUGAGCCACUGCACCCAGCCUCCUUCUUAUGACUCUUAAUGUCCUAUAAGCCAUUUUUAAAAGUAGCAGAUACCUGAGCCCUCUCAAUUAUCCCCAGUUCUUACUCGUAAAGAACUCUGUGACCCAAAGUCAUUUUUUAAAAGUACCACUAAUAUUGGGAUGUGCAGUCAAACCUGCUGUAUUCUGGACCUUCCCUGCCCUGUGAGAGCUCUACAUGCAAGACCCAAGUAAGGCUGUCAGCUCAUGUGCAGUGGCAUAAAAACUACCAUGUGAUACUGUUUCAUGCUGUGGCCAAUGCAUUUCUAUCAAUGAUGCAUCACUGGCUUGACAGCAAUGUUACUGUUGUAUACUAGGGGCAGGUAAAUUUUUCUAGCAGAAAUGGUAUUUGGACCAGAAGUUUUUAUAUGAAGAAUUUGAUUAAAGAAAUAUUAUUAAGUAGCCCUUCUUUCUAAAUAUACUUUCAUGCUAAAACAAAAUAACUCAGAAAAUAUGAAAACAGAACUCUAGAACUCUUUGAAGUUAGCAAGUAAAGCAUACAUACAUGGUGUCUUAGUAACUGUUUCCAUUAUGCAGAUUCUAAGAAUCUUUCCUGGACAAGACUAAAGAAUUCCCAGUGGCAAACCAUGAUCUGCUGCUCAGCUCAAAUUGUGGGUCCCAGAGCAGCCAUAUGUGAUAGUUACUUGUAAUUAAGGACUUCAUCUAAACUUGAAGAUAAGCUUUCCUUGCUGAAAUUAGAUAUUACUUCCUAUUUAACUUAUUUAGAUAAAUUAUUUUUAUUUUAUAAAUAGAAUACAUACUUUAAUAGUUUAGUAGAAUAUCUCUUAAUUUUGUAGCUCCUUCAGUCAAUACCUUUGCAUUCCUAUUUUAUAUUGCAUUAUAUUAAUAGUUACUGGUCAACAUUAUGUAAUGAUGUUCCUGAGUCCUUUAGUGUCUUUGCCUUACUUACUUGAUUCUCCUUGUUUGCAGUAGACUGUUGCUGUUUUCCUGUAAUGCGUUGUUCUUCUCCUGUUUAUUUAUACUAUCUAGCAAGGCCAUGGAGGAAUUUGGUAGACAUUUGUUAAUGAGUAGCUAGCCAUCCUGAGUUAAUAGACAAUGAUAUGAAUUGAUGGACUCAUUGAGAAGGUGCCAUAUUGUAUCAUUUCUGAUUACAAAUAAACCAAAAAAUUGAACUAAGAGUACAUAAUAGGUUAACAUUUCAUGUAGCUAAAUUAAGAGAGGCCAAAAUAUCAAAGGGAAAGUUGAAAGUCACAAGGAACCACCCUGGGUCUUAGCUCCAUCAACUGUGUCUCAUGGGAUGGCAGGUAAAUUAGUUAUUGUUCUUAACAGCCUAGAUUCUUUACUUGAGAAGACAGGGAUAAUAAAAAUCAGGAUAACAUCUGAUCUUCAGGGCGCUGUGAGGGUAAUAAUGUUAGGCAAGUAUCCAGAGAGUGCCUGGCACAAAACAGCCACGCAGGUGCUGCCUGUUGCUUCCUUCCUGAUGGAGGGUUAUUGAUAAACAUCGUGCAUAAUAAGAUUUCCAAGUAAGCCUGUUUCCUCUCAAUUAUUAAUGAUUACCUGGAGUUCUGUUAAGGAGAAUCAGAGAUCUCUGGACAUGAGUUUGGGUCAUAAGAAAGCGGUGGUGAGCUGUGGCUGGCAAGCCUGUGCUCACAGGGAGGAUGUGUGAGUUCAAUGCUAGCUUCUCUUGGGGCAGACGUAAGGCAUUUGAGCUCAGUCUUUCUUUGAGCUCGACUGUAUCGCUUGAUUUAGGUUUGCUGUUCUGGUUUUUAAAAUUUAGUAAUAGAGAAGAGAGUACAUAAGUAGAAGACCAAAACUGUAUUGUUACCAGAGUUCCAACCGCUGCUGACUUUUCUGGCUCUACAAAAGAGGGUCAAUGAGAUAUAUCUCCAUGAGAGGCAACAUCCAAAUCAUCUGCCAGGUGAUCCCACCUUGUCACAAAGGAUUGUGACUGACAGCAGAAAGAAAGCAGGCAUGAGAAAACGAGAUGCAGUCAAGAGCUGACGAUCACAUCAAAAAGGAAAGAAAGAUGUUCUAUACAUUCAGUGAGAAGUCAGCCUGUGUUUGCAUAAGCAUUUCUGUCACUGCCAACCCAGCUCUGAUGACAGAGUGUGAGCUUCUGUGCUGCUGGUACCUUUGGGAUUCGUGCUGACUCGUGACAAGCCUAGGAGGGCCACAGAAAGAAGGAUGUAAGGAUGUAAGAAGGAUGACCUUCCAUGUCUUCAAGAAUAGUUGCGUUUUAAGAAACAAUGAGACUUCCAUGUCCUGAUGGCAGUCGAUGUAGAAAUUCCUGGCAUUUGGCAACAGCAUGGAAUCACAUUCUGUAGUAAUACAAAGAGUCUGGCUUCUGGCUUCUCAGGUAGAUUCAACAAUGUCAGCUCUCCUGGUAACUGCUCUAAAAAUACAUUUUAGAGUCAUAAGAAGCCCGGUUUUGACCCCUCACUCUCUUACCUGUGUAGACACCCAGAUAUGCUCCAUGCACUCUUGGGUGUGAGAGUGAUUCCCUGUUCUCCCAACCCUUCCCCAGCCACGCCCUUUGUGCUGCUCCGCAAUGCUUGGCUCGGGAGGAAACUGUAUUUCCCAGAUGCCCUUGCCAGCGAGUUCCUGUGACAUCUGCUCAGUGGAUCCAAAGGCAGGUCAGGGGAAAGGCGCUGUCAUUUUCUCUUUUCUACCCUUCCCUCUCUCCUGCUUCUGGAAGUGUCUGUGAUCCCUUCUCCAUGCCACUCCUCCGUGACUGGGAGGCAGUGCCUUGGUGGUUUCUACCCACUCAGUCGGCCCAUCCUCAGGGGUCCUGGCAUGCACUCAGCACUCAGAAGUUCUGAUAAAGUACUUUCUUGAGUUUCCUGAGUCCUGGGGGCAGUAGCUGUUUCCUACAGUUUACCAGGUGAUCUAAUCUCAUUCUAUCCCUUUUUUCUUUCUUUUUUUCUCUUUCUGCUCUGCUAACAUUUUGUAACAGAUUUCUUAUAUUCAGUGCACUCUUAAGAAGUACCUAAUACAUCUUGUAUGUGGUGGGAUUAAUAGUACUUUAAAUAGUACACACAACCUGCCUGUAAAAGGCCUGAAAAGAGCUGUGAAAUAAUUUAUACUCCUUUUCUUAUUGAGUCCACAUUUAGGAAUCUAUCCUGUGAAUGAAAUCAGAGAUGGUCCUGGAGAUUUUAUGAGCAUGGGUUUUCAUUGGUGGGUUAAUUUUUAAUAACAGAAAAAGGAAUUACUUGUAGAACAAUAGGAACCAUUAAAAUACACUCAUACAAAUUACAAUACACAUACACAUUAAGAUACUGUACCAUUAUUAAAAAUCACAUUUUCAAAAGAAAAUGUUCAUAGCAUAAGCGAAAAAACAGUGUAUUAGCCUGUCCUCACACUGCUCUAAAGGACUGCCCAAAACUGUGUAAUUAAUAAAGGAAAGAGGUUUAAUUGACUCACAGUUCUGCAUGGCUGGAGAGGCCUCAGUGAACUUACAAUCAUGGUGGAAGGGGAAGCAAACAUGUCCUUCAUCACAUGAUGGCAGCAAGGAGAACUGCCGAGCAAAAGGGGAAAAAGUCCCUGAUAAAACCAUCAGCUCCCCUGAGAACUCAUUCACAUCAUGAGAACAGCAGGCAUGGGGGUAACUGGCCUCAGGAUUCAACUACCUCCCACCGGGUCCCUCCCGUAACACAUGGGGAUUAUGGGAACUACAAUUCGAGAUGAGAUUUGGGUAGGGACACAGCCAAACCAUAUCAAACUGUAUACAAAAGAGUAUGAGGGAAUGUUGUAUAAGGGAAUAAACAUUUUAAUUUUUUAAAAUUUAUUUUAUUUUGAGAUGGA